Molecule: ribosomal RNA, 253 nt
Filed under: uncultured bacterium
Lineage: Bacteria
Description: partial 16S ribosomal RNA
Rfam family: Bacterial small subunit ribosomal RNA
Source: RNAcentral
UACGGGGGGAGCAAGCGUUGUUCGGAUUUACUGGGCGUAAAGGGCGCGUAGGCGGCGUAACAAGUCACUUGUGAAAUCUCCGGGCUUAACCCGGAGCGGCCAAGUGAUACUGUUGUGCUAGAGUGCGGAAGGGGCUACUGGAAUUCUCGGUGUAGCGGUGAAAUGCGUAGAUAUCUGGAGGAACACCGGUGGCGAAGGCGGCAUUCUGGACCGACAUUGACGCUGAGGAGCGAAAGCAAGGGGAGCGAACGGG